RNAcentral lists this ribosomal RNA (707 nucleotides) under Patescibacteria group bacterium. Its description in RNAcentral is "bacterial SSU rRNA". It matches the Rfam family "Bacterial small subunit ribosomal RNA", at positions 1 to 778 of the family's 1533-position model. The record is from RNAcentral.
ACUAAGAAUUUGAUCCUGGUUCAGGGUGAAUGCUAGCGGUGUGCCUAAGGUAUGCAAGUCGAACGAUUCGGCAGAAAUGCUGUAUAGUGGCGAACGGCUGAGUAACACGUGGGAAUCUACCCCCAAGUAAGGCAUAGCCCCUCGAAAGAGGGAGUAAUUCCUUAUGUGAAGGUAACUUUAAAGCGGCAACGCGCUUGGGGACGAGCCCGCGGCCUAUCAGGUAGUUGGUGAGGUAAAGGCUCACCAAGCCUAUGACGGGUAGCUGGUGUUAGCGCAUGACCAGCCAGAAGGGCACUGAGACACGGGCCUUACUCCUACGGGAGGCAGCAAUCGGGAAUCUUCCGCAAUGGACGAAAGUCUGACGGAGCGACACCGCGUGAGGGAUGACGGCCCUCGGGUUGUAAACCUCGUUAUAAGCACCGGCUAACUACGUGCCAGCAGCAGCGGUCACACGUAGGGUGCAAGCAUUACCCGGUCUUACUGGGCGUAAAGAGUUCUGUAGGCGGCUAAAUAAGUUGGGGGUCAAAUACCUCGGCUCAACCGAGGAAAGGCUUUCAAUACUGUUUGGCUAGGAGGCGACUAGGGGGUAGCGGAACGUAUGGUGUAGCAGUGAAAUGCGUUGAUAUCAUACGGAACACCAAGGGGGAAGCCAGCUACCUGGGGUUGUCCUGACGCUGAGAGACGAAAGCGUGGGGAGCGAAACGGAU